UUACUGAUGAAACACAUUGCAUGAAUUGCAGACGAAUACUGAUGAAUUGCACAGCCCUACUCUCCUACGCGCGCACACACACACACACACACACACACUCUCACUCUCUCUCUGUUUGUCCCUCUUUCAAUUUGUUUAGCCUAUUUCUAUUUGCAUUCUUUCAAUAUGGCAUCUUCAGGUUUUGACCAGUUAUGCCAGGAAGCUGCAACUAUUUCAAAGCAUCUUGAAAUGAAAGCUGACAAUGCUGAACUUGAAGCAGCUACCAGGGAGGCUGAAGAAAUUCUACAAAUGUUCAAUCCUCCACUGCUGAAAAAGAAGACCAAACGAGCGAUUUUCUGGACUCAACAGACACAGUGAACUUUGCACUGCAUUUCAAAGCCAGCUUCUCAGCCGCAACACCGAGAACCAGAGUUGAAGUCAAUGUACUGCUGAGAAAGUGCAAGAUCUAUUUAACCAAAAAUAUAAGGAUGCUGGAGGUACUGGAAGGCUCCCCUACCAAUCUCUGGUAAAUCAAGGCAUGACAGUUAAAGUUGCAGGACUGCCCAACAGCCUCAAAAAGCCAUCCUAUUAUGUAGGGUGACCAUACGUGCCAUUCUUCCCGGACGCAUCCCAUCCAGGAUUUCGGUGCGUCUUCCGGAAGUCGUAUUUGUUGACCGCAUACGCCAUUCAGUUAAAAACAUAAGAUAUACAAUCGUAGUUUCAUUCUUCCCUUAAAAUGUAACGGUUGCUUUUCUGUAAUAAUAAUAAUAAUAAUUCUCUAUGACGUAUGCGGUCGACAAAUACGACUUCCGGAAGACGAACACAAAAUCCUGGACGGGAUGCGUCCGGGAAGAAUGGCACGUAUGGUCACCCUAUAUUAUGGAAGGAACCAGUUGGAGGCCAUUUUGCAAGCUGCUGAGGAGAUUUCAUUUGAAAUCAAUGCAGCACAAUGCAACUCCACUGACAAAGCAGAAGGAAUGUCAGAGGCGAUGGAUGCAGAAGAGCUGGAAGAACAGUCCUCAGAAACAACCACUACUGUAGCUAUUGUGAUGACUGCAGAUUAAGAUGGACGCCAUUUGUGCUGUGUCUGCCGUGUCCUUUUCGAUGACAGGAAGAAGAAUGCUUCGUGUUCAUGGUCACAGUGCACAGUGUGCCAAUCAUGGUCACACACUGCAUGUCAAGACACCAUGCAAACAGCCUGUAGCGCUGCAUCAGUGAUAGGAAACAUGCUAGUUACACAAGAUGUUUUAUGUUUUAACUUUGAGUUGUUUUUAAUUGUUCAUGACCCCAUCCCUACAAACACACACACAUAUUUUUUUUAUUUUUAUGUAUUAGGUGCAAUUUAAUAUUUUUCAUGCAAAUGUAAUUUGAUAUCGAAAAGUUGGUUUAUGUCAGAGCAGUAGUGAUACUUGUGGAUACUUUGAUAUACAACUGAACAGUACAAUUUAAAUAUAAUGGUUGCUAUGAACGAUGAUGAUGUUGUGUAUCUGCUUUAUCAAAGUGAUUUUCGUCCAUCAUACAGAUGAAGUUGAAGCAAAUCUCUAUUACCAAAUUUAAUGUUAUGAAAAGAACCAUCAUGACAGAAAUAUAUAUUAAUAUAUGAAUUGAAAGUAAUACAAAAAAAAUGAGACCAGAAACCCAUCAUGAGUUAAAAAACUGGCUAUGCUCAGUUGUAAGGACUUUUUUGAAAUGAUUAAUUUCACAUUAUGUGUCAUUUUGUGUUUUAAAUUAAAGUGACAACACAAGUUACAAAAUUUGGUGUUCCAAUAAUAAAACUGAUUGUGUUGUUUUAACACAUCUGUUUUUAAAUUGUAUUUAUUACUCUACAGUAUGCUGUAGCAUUCAUUAACAAAGUUUUAAAUAAUAUAAACUGUACACUUUACUAUAGUAUGGGUAUUUACUAUAAAUUACUUUAGUACUUUUUAUGUGGGCAGAAUUUUUAUGACUGGACUGACACACCUGAUCCACAUACAUUCACGGUAUAGUUUGCAUACUGCUCAGGCCUGUCUUUCUGCUUAGAAAGAAGGAACAUGAAACAAUACAUAGGCUUCCUAAACUGUAUUUGGCACACAUAGCUGAACUCUUUCUCAAAGUGACAGGUUUGGAAGGAGGGGAAUGGUGCUCUAAUGGAUAAACAAAAUAGGCCUGUUUGCCAUUUUUAGUUGAGCUCAAAAGAAAACAUUUAAACAAAAAUAAAUAGGCUACAAAAGAUGCAAGAGAGCAUACAUUAUGUACAUUAUGUAGCAAACAUUGUGUAUAAUGUUUGUUAAUCUGGGUUUUGACAACCAAUAGGCCUAAUAAUCAUUUACUAGCCUACAAUCGGAGAUGGCUACCCAUCAGACUAUGGUCUUAUUUAUUAAUGGGAUGUUUUUAAUUUAAUUAUCAUAGCAGCAUUAACAUAUGCAUAUAAGCCCAAACAGAAAUGCACAGUUUGUGUGUGUGGCCAACACCAGGUAUUCAUCAAGGUGUGGGGUCUGUUUACACAGCCAGAAACAAACAAACAGCUUUAUUUUAUCUAACUCUAACCUUAUUGAGCCUUCAAAGUGCUCUCUGACACUACACCUGAGAUGGCUUGUGUACUUGAAAUUAGAACAUGAAAAGUUUGUUGUAGAGCUAAGCCAAAUACAUAGUUAGAAAGGUCUUGACCUGCAGAAUAACAUAUGUCAGUAUAAAGAAUCUACAUGGCUCCUGCUUUGAAAUACGGACCUUUGAAACAUCACCUUGGUGCAUUUUUGAAGGCUUAUAAUUAGGCAAAAAAAGGGGCUAUAGACAUGGGACAAACUCUUAAUGAGAGCUCUUGGCCUCAGUUAUAAUGUCAAUAUACAGACGUGAACUUUGUCUGUUGCUUUAAGGACAAUUUCUUUAAUGUUAUGUGUGUUUGUGCAUAAUUGCGAAGUAAGUGGAUCUUAUUUGACUUCGGUAAUGACCAAACCUGUGUUCUGUUUGACUUCUCUUUCUUAUAUUUGCCAUCAUAACGUGAAUUGGUUUAUAAGCUUAAUAAUUAAUAUUUAAACGGUUUAACGUGGUAAAUUAAUUCUGUUACGCUUAUAUUUCAAGUAUGUCAUUGUCAUUUCUAUAUUUAUGUCAUUAGUGUAAUUAUAUUGUUAAACGUCUGAAUUUAAAGUGUUUUAUGUGUAAGAGUAAACAAACUCAUGCGCAUAUGCGUGUUACAUGCCAGACAGCGCACCGUUGUUAAACCACCUGCUAGCCUUUGCAAAAGUGUAUAAUGUCACUGUUCAGUGUUUAAUAUUUAAACUAUAGCAAUGCAUAUGACAUACAGUAACCAGCUUUGUUAGAUUAAUGUUAUGAAUGCAAUGUUAAUUGUUAAUCUUUAAUUAUUAAUUUUAUUUGCAAGUUAAUUGUUAUUAUCCACAAACCUUUGUUUGUGUCAGAUUUAGCUCAUCUCAAAUAAGCCUGUUAACUUUUGUUAUGCUAUUUACGUAAGGGAUAAUAUAUAGUGAGACGGUUGUUAUAGCGAAUGUUAGGUACUAUUAACCUUGUUUGUGGUGUUUUAGAUAUUAUUGUUAAUUUUGUUUAUUUGAAAAAUUUUAACAUUUAAGUGUUAUAUUUAUUAUUUUAUAUAAUAUUUUAUUUAAAUGUUAUUCUAUUUACUCUAUUUCAUUUAAAUUAUACAUAGGCUGUUGUUUGUGCCUCUUAA
Long non-coding RNA from Paramisgurnus dabryanus, 3637 nucleotides. RefSeq lists it as uncharacterized. The record is from RefSeq and is a predicted model, not a curated record. NCBI's taxonomy places the organism in Eukaryota, Metazoa, Chordata, Actinopteri, Cypriniformes, Cobitidae.